UGAGUACGAGAUGCUACGGCAUCGAAGCAGUCUAUGCCAUACUUCCAAGAAAAGCUUGCACUGUCAUAAACAAAGAAUGCCUGUACCAUAACCGACACAGGUGGGUAGGUAGAGUAUACUAAGGGGCGCGAGAUAACUCUCUCUAAGGGACUCGGCAAAAUGACUCCGUAACUUCGGGAGAAGGAGUGCCUUAUUUCUAAGGUUGCAAUAACAAGAUCCAAGCAACUGUUUACCAAAAACACAGGUCUCCGCUAAGUCGUAAGACGAUGUAUGGGGGCUGACGCCUGCCCAGUGCCAGAAGGUUAAAGAAGUUGGUUAGCAUUAGCGAAGCUGAUAACUGAAGCCCUGGUGAACGGCGGCCGUAACAAUAACGGUCCUAAGGUAGCGAAAUUCCUUGUCGGGUAAGUUCCGACCCGCACGAAAGGCGUAAUGAUUUGGAUACUGUCUCGGAGAGGGGCUCGGUGAAAUAGACUUGUCUGUGAAGAUGCGGACUACCUGCACCUGGACAGAAAGACCCUAUGAAGCUUUACUGUAACUUGAGAUUGAAAUUGGACUUUAUUUGCGCAGUAUAGGUGGGAGGCGUUGAGAAUAAUCUUGCGGGAUUGUUGGAGCCAUCAGUGAGAUACCACUCUUGUAAUGUUAGAUUUCUAACUUUGUAUCAUUAUCUGGUCAAAGAACAGUUUCAGGCGGGCAGUCUGACUGGGGCGGUCGCCUCCCAAAGGGUAACGGAGGCGCACAAAGGUUUCCUCUGAACGGGUAGAAAUUGUAUCUAGAGUGUAAAGGCAUAAGGAAGCUUGACUGUGAGACCUACAAGUCGAGCAGGGACGAAAGUCGGUCUUAGUGAUCUGACGGUGCUGAGUGGAAAGGCCGUCACUCAACGGAUAAAAGUUACUCUAAGGAUAACAGGCUGAUCUCCCCCAAGAGUUCACAUCGACGGGGAGGUUUGGCACCUCGAUGUCGGCUCAUCGCAUCCUGGGGCGGUAGUCCGUCCCAAGGGUUGGGCUGUUCGCCCAUGAAAGCGGUACGCGAGCUGGGUUCAGAACGUCGUGAGACAGUUCGGUCCAUAUCCGGUGUAGGCGUUAGAAUAUUGAGAGGAGCCUUCUCUAGUACGAGAGGACCGAGAAGGACAUACCUCUGGUGUACCAGUUAUCGUGCCAACGGUAAACGCUGGGUAGCUAUGUAUGGAGUGGAUAACCGCUGAAAGCAUCUAAGUGGGAAGCCCACCUCAAGAUAAGUAUUCUCA
This 1243-nucleotide ribosomal RNA is filed under the name metagenome. RNAcentral describes it as "bacterial LSU rRNA". It matches the Rfam family "Bacterial large subunit ribosomal RNA", at positions 1564 to 2816 of the family's 2925-position model. The record is from RNAcentral.